Molecule: ribosomal RNA, 216 nt
Filed under: Glomeromycotina sp.
Lineage: Eukaryota; Fungi; Glomeromycota
Description: partial small subunit ribosomal RNA
Rfam family: Eukaryotic small subunit ribosomal RNA (bases 87-216)
Source: RNAcentral
GGGUCAGUAGGUUGGUCGUGCCACCGGUACGUACUGGUCUCACUGAUCCCUCCUUCCUGAAGAACCGUAAUGCCAUUGAUUUGGUGUUGCGGGGAAACAGGACUGUUACUUUGAAAAAAUUAGAGUGUUUAAAGCAAGCUAACGCUUGAAUACAUUAGCAUGGGAUAAUGAAAUAGGACGAUCGAUCCUAUUUUGUUGGUUUCUAGGAUUGACGUA